GUCCCGGUAGUGUAGCAGAGGCAUCCCCGUCUCCGAAGCGGGAGGGGAAGGUGCGACUCCUUCCCGGGACGCCA
This 74-nucleotide transfer RNA is filed under the name Planctomycetaceae bacterium. Its description in RNAcentral is "tRNA-Arg". It matches the Rfam family "tRNA". Rfam says of the family: Transfer RNA (tRNA) molecules are approximately 80 nucleotides in length. Their secondary structure includes four short double-helical elements and three loops (D, anti-codon, and T loops). Lineage: Bacteria; Pseudomonadati; Planctomycetota; Planctomycetia; Planctomycetales; Planctomycetaceae. The record is from RNAcentral.